AAAGACUUAGUCCUAACCUUACCAUUAGUUCUUGCUAGACAUAUACAUGCAAGUAUCCGCAUUCCAGUGUAAAUGCCCUUUACUCCUGUAACUGUAGGUAGAAGGAGCUGGCAUCAGGCACGCCUAUCGCAGCCUAAGACGCCUUGCUUAGCCACACCCCCACGGGUACUCAGCAGUAGUUAACAUUAAGCAAUAAGUGUAAACUUGACUUAGUUAUAGCAAACCUUAGGGUUGGUAAAUCUUGUGCCAGCCACCGCGGUCACACAAGAAACCCAAAUUAAUUGUACACGGCGUAAAGAGUGGACCCAUGAUUAUCACAGUAAUUAAGGCUAAAACGUAACUGAGCUGUCAUAAGCUUAAGAUACAUUUAAAACCACCCUAAAAACGACCUUAGCUUCCCACGACCAAUUAAAUUCCACGAAAGCCAGGGCACAAACUGGGAUUAGAUACCCCACUAUGCCUAGCCCUAAAUCUUGAUGCUUACCCCCACUAAAGCAUCCGCCCGAGAACUACGAGCACAAACGCUUAAAACUCUAAGGACUUGGCGGUGCCCCAAACCCACCUAGAGGAGCCUGUUCUAUAAUCGACAACCCACGAUGCACCCGACCACUUCUUGCCAAAACAGCCUACAUACCGCCGUCGCCAGUUCACCUCUACUGAGAGCACAGUAGUGAACACAAUCGCCCUAACCCCGCUAGCACGACAGGUCAAGGUAUAGCCUAUGAAGUGGAAGAAAUGGGCUACAUUUUCUAACUUAGAAUACCACUACAAACGAAAGGGAGCAUGAAAUAACUCCCAGAAGGCGGAUUUAGCAGUAAAGCGGGAUAAUAAAGCCCCCUUAAAACUGGCUCUGAGGCACGUACAUACCGCCCGUCACCCUCCUCACAAGCAUUAAGUCCUUAUAAAUAAUACACCCACCUGCCAAAGAUGAGGUAAGUCGUAACAAGGUAAGUGUACCGGAAGGUGCACUUAGUACAC
This 978-nucleotide non-coding RNA is filed under the name Pampusana salamonis (Thick-billed ground-dove). RNAcentral describes it as "12S ribosomal RNA". It matches the Rfam family "Bacterial small subunit ribosomal RNA". Lineage: Eukaryota; Metazoa; Chordata; Aves; Columbiformes; Columbidae. The record is from RNAcentral.